This is a long non-coding RNA of Archocentrus centrarchus (flier cichlid), 1141 nucleotides long. RefSeq lists it as uncharacterized. Lineage: Eukaryota; Metazoa; Chordata; Actinopteri; Cichliformes; Cichlidae. The record is from RefSeq and is a predicted model, not a curated record. The transcript is spliced from 4 exons.
GUGCUGCUCACUGACGCUGUUCAUUGGUUAAGCUGACAUGUGGUUCCUGCUUGAUCCAAAACACACCCGCGGCUUUAGAGUACACCGUUGAGGAGUUUUGCAGAGCCCAAAUGAAGAGAAAAGGGAAUAUCUCCCAUUUCUUCUUAAAGAGGCAAAAACCAGGACCAGACAGAACCCUGCAGCAGUGACCAACCUGGAGAAGCCAGCCAGGAGACACCAGGCCCAAGUGUAUCACCAGCAGUUCCAGAGAGAGAUGAGGGUGAUAUAGAUUCAGAGUCAGACUCUGGGGAGGAAGACAGUGAAGCAGAAGGAAAUGGCACUGAACUCCCCCCACCCAGCACAACCUAUUGCACACCAAAAGGACCAGUUGACAUCUCAAGAACUAAAGCGGAAGGUCCAGCUCAGCCAUGUCUGACAAAGUUCCCAAGAACUCAGCAUGGAACAAGAACAAGGGCUUUCAACAGCUCCUGGUACAAAGACAAUCCAUGGCUUGAGUACUCUGUAUCUCAAAAUGCCAGUUACUGUUUUGCAUGCAGGCAUUUCUCCCUCCCUAGUUAUACAGAAUCAUCCUUCACAUCUGAAGCAGGGUUUUCAACUGGAAAAAAGCCUUGUUUAAGGAUGCUGGGUUUAAAGUUCAUUCAAAAUCAGAGCAGCACAUAAAUGCAAUGUAUGACAAAGAAGAGGUUACGCUAGGGACACUCAAGAACUAGUAGUGCGCUGCAAAAUCAGCACCCUGCCACUCAGCAAGAGACAGCCUAAGGCCAGUUCUAGGUUUUUGGACUCACUGGUAAUGACUACUGUAGGACAGAGGCACAGUGACCAAAGUAAUGAGGAUUUUAACAGAGGUGUCUUUUAUCAGAUACUUGACUGUCUCACAGCUGAACUUGAGAGGCAUUUUUCACAGAAGUAUUGUGAGAUAAUGCUAGGGGUUCAGUCUCUAGUCCCAAAAAGCCCAUUAUUCUUGAACGAGGAAACACCGUAUGCUUUUGGACAGACAUUUGAGUCAGAUCUAGAAGAUCUUAAACAUGAGGUUCACCAAACCAGACGGCUUCUUCUGAGGAGAGAAAAAGUGGGUUAGAGAGACCCUCUACUUUACUUGACUUUGUUGUGUUCCUGGAACCUUAUAAAGAGGUUUUUCAUG